UAAUAAGGAUGGGGAAGCAGCUAAAGAAAAGAAAGAAGAGGACGCGUGAAAGAAGAAGGAAGAGGAAAGGAAGAGAACUAGGGUUCAUCAUCAAUCACGGUACAGGUGCUAGUGGAGCAUCUCAUGAGAAGUAGACAGAGAGCUAUAUACUGUUAUUUAGAUAGUUAUCUAGUAGUAUGAGGGUCAAUUUCUUUGUAUGUAACAUUGGGGAACGUGGUUUGAUAAAUUAUUUUGAUGAGAGUAAUUGACAACUCUUUUUGGUUCUUUCUUUUGUAAACUUGAGUUACAUGGAGUUGACGUUUUUGGAUGGCCAUAAUGCCUAUACUUCUUAUACUGAA
Lotus japonicus is the source of this 338-nucleotide long non-coding RNA. RefSeq lists it as uncharacterized. The record is from RefSeq and is a predicted model, not a curated record. The transcript is spliced from 2 exons. Lineage: Eukaryota; Viridiplantae; Streptophyta; Magnoliopsida; Fabales; Fabaceae.